UGCCUCCGACUUGAACCCCAAAGAUACAGCAAUUUUAUAUUAUACUAUAUUAAAUAUAUUGUGACGCCCUGCCCCUCUCUCUGCCUAUUGGUUGUGGGUGGAGAUUGGGAAAGGGCGUCAGGCCAAUUCGCCACACCUGUGGGGGUAUAGGGAUCCAGAGAUUUAAGGGCUGGAUCCCUUAAAUCCAGCCCGGUGGGCUAAAGUGCAUAAAUACCCCCCAUCAGUAGCGGCACGAAGACUAGGGAUGGAGUUAAGGUAGUUAUGGGGUCGCUAAUGUCUUAGUUAGUCAGGGCUGGGGAGGUUCCAUUUUGGUUUGGCUGUCCCAGACUUUGUUAGUGGUUCCAGCUGAUAUUGUUUUUGUUUUUUUCUUUCUCCUAUUCUAUUUUGUGAGUGUAGGUAGUCCAGGUAUGGCGUCUACAGUGGAUAAAUUUGUUGACUCACCGUCAGUAGCACUACUGGAUCAGUGUACUAAAGACCAGUUACUGCUAAUUGCUGAGAAAUAUGAGAUUGAGAUAUUGGAUAAAAAGUUAAAGGAGUCUGUUAAGGGAAGUUUGAUGGCAGGGAUGCUGGAACAGAGAAUGAUCCCGGACGAGCCCCCAUUUUGUCACACACCGGGUCAGGUAGUGGCAAAAUAAAGGGAGUCCACACAUGAAAUAAAGAGAAACUAGUUUAUUAGUAACCCGUUUUUACUGGUUAAAGUAAACAUAAGCAAUUAUACUUAAACAAAAGAGAUUAUACUUAAGACCACAUGGCGGGUGGAAGACGGAGCCCAAAGCUCAGCCUAGAAGCAGCAAAGAGACUCAACACAUGGCUACCCAGCCCUUAAAUCUCUGGAUCCCUAUACCCCCACAGGUGUGGCCAAUUGGCAUGACGCCCUUUCCCAAUCUCCACCCACAACCAAUAGGCAGAGAGAGGGGCAGGGCGUCACAAUAUUUAUUAAAGUAUGCUUCAAAUUGGCUUCCAACAUCUCUUCUCGGAGCUCCCAAACAGUGAGCUACUCUACUACUAAUGGAGUACUGCUCACGGAGGAGGGCUCAUUGUGUACAGACAGGGAUUGUUUACAGGCAUUCUGUCAGCUAUUUGCGGCUCAAGUUUGCUUCCUUCAGACAGAGCUCUGCAACGUAUUAAAGGCAGGACCUAUCCAACUCCGGCGGAACCUACUACAAGCUCUCCGCUGUUGCCAAAUGAGGAGUAGAGGAGGAAGUCAUCCAGUGAAUUACACCCUGAAGAAACUGCAGUUGGCUCUCAAUACCAUCCCUAUUGAGUCACGUGUAAACAAAGUGGUGGAAAUCAAUAGUCUCCAACGAGGAGCUGUGAGAACCGACUGACCUGCAGAGGAGGUUCAGGGUUAAGGUCAGCCAGAGAUCUCCUCCAGGGAGCUAGUUAACUCUCUUUUAGUCACAGCCAGCAACUCUCUUCUUAUUUACCACCUGGUGCAAGCGUUGGGCUUCUUGGGACUACGACCAACUGUCUAACUGGCAUUAAAAACGUGAGGGUGAAUCGCUAAGCUGGUUGGUUCAUUCUGGAUCAUCAAUAAGGAAGUCAUAAAGAUGAGCCAGCGAUGUAUUGGUUUUCUAAACAGGUAGGAUGACGACAGUUCCAUGAAACACCUGAAGAAAUAACAGAACCAUCACAGACUGCUUACACCUGAGGUAGUUGAGUGGGGCUACGAAAUGGGCUGCUAUGAUAUUAUAAUCACAUAUUACCUACAGCAUUAGAUGCUAUUCGAUAACCUGUCAAUGUCUGUGUAGGUUCCCAAAUAGAUUGGGAGUAAAUGUAUUCUAAUUCAUUUAAAAUUUAAUCAAAAUAAAUCAACAAUGUGUAAUGUUACACAUUCUGUUCCAACAUAUUCUAAAGAUUUUAAUAUUUUUGAACUUUCAAGAUGUUUUAAUUUAUUGAAUAACCUACUGCCGCUCCUCGAACACUCCUGUUUGUUAAAAGCCAAAUGUACUUAAUAAACGUGUUCUCUUAUCCACUGUUGGUGUGAUC
This is a long non-coding RNA of Gadus chalcogrammus (walleye pollock), 1989 nucleotides long. RefSeq lists it as uncharacterized. NCBI's taxonomy places the organism in Eukaryota, Metazoa, Chordata, Actinopteri, Gadiformes, Gadidae. The record is from RefSeq and is a predicted model, not a curated record. The transcript has 3 exons.